RNAcentral lists this ribosomal RNA (254 nucleotides) under uncultured bacterium. RNAcentral's name for it is "partial 16S ribosomal RNA". It matches the Rfam family "Bacterial small subunit ribosomal RNA", at positions 524 to 776 of the family's 1533-position model. The record is from RNAcentral.
UACGUAGGGGGCAAGCGUUGUCCGGAAUCAUUGGGCGUAAAGAGCUCGUAGGCGGCUUAGCAAGUCAGGUGUGAAAACUCCAGGCUCAACCUGGAGACGCCACUUGAUACUGCUAUGGCUUGAGUACGGUAGGGGAUCACGGAAUUCCUGGUGUAGCGGUGAAAUGCGCAGAUAUCAGGAGGAACACCGAUGGCGAAGGCAGUGAUCUGGGCCGAUACUGACGCUGAGGAGCGAAAGCGUGGGUAGCGAACAGG